GCUGGGCGUGGUGGCGGGCGCCUGUAGUCCCAGCUACUUGGGAGGCUGAGACAGGAGAAUGGCAUGAACCCGGGAGGCGGAGUUUGCAGUGAGCCGAGAUCGCGGCACUGCACUCCAGCCUGGGCAACAGAGAGAGACUCCGUCUCAAAAAAAAAAAAAAAAGAUGGAGUCUCCCUCUGUCGCCCAAGCUGGAGUGCAAUGGUGUGAUCUCGGCGCACUGCAACCUCCGCCUCCCGGGUUUAAGUGAUUCUCCUGCCUCAG
Non-coding RNA from Pan troglodytes (chimpanzee), 261 nucleotides. It matches the Rfam family "Metazoan signal recognition particle RNA". Rfam says of the family: The signal recognition particle (SRP) is a universally conserved ribonucleoprotein. It is involved in the co-translational targeting of proteins to membranes. The eukaryotic SRP consists of a 300-nucleotide 7S RNA and six proteins: SRPs 72, 68, 54, 19, 14, and 9. The record is from Rfam. Lineage: Eukaryota; Metazoa; Chordata; Mammalia; Primates; Hominidae.